This 32-nucleotide ribosomal RNA is filed under the name Cacopsylla pulchra. Its description in RNAcentral is "partial 5.8S ribosomal RNA". RNAcentral also lists the same sequence under 1 other name. Lineage: Eukaryota; Metazoa; Arthropoda; Insecta; Hemiptera; Psyllidae. The record is from RNAcentral.
UGGCGUUUCGGGUCACGUACAUCCGAGGGUCG